CACCACGGUGACUUGCAAGCAACUCACUAUACUUUGGUGUCGGACUGCCUGUAUUUUUAAUAUAGGUUCAAAAAAUUUUUGGGUACAGUCAAGUACUUAUAAAGUCGGUGUGUGAGUCAAGAUAAGAUUGACCACUCCUGAUUAACUUCAGGAAGAGAAUGUCUCGCUGUGUUUUAAUUUAGUAAAACCUAGGUCUGGGUAAUCCUCGUAAGGAGUCACGAGAUUUGCAAAAUUUUGAGACACAAUAGAGAUGACUUAUAUGAGUGUUGACAGCAUACUCGAAGUUAUCUUGAGCAUUAUUGAUCAAAAAGAUGAAUUAUACGGUAACCAUGGGUCAG
This 338-nucleotide long non-coding RNA is filed under the name Elaeis guineensis (African oil palm). Its description in RNAcentral is "long non-coding RNA (EGUI_LNC053189)". Lineage: Eukaryota; Viridiplantae; Streptophyta; Magnoliopsida; Arecales; Arecaceae. The record is from RNAcentral.